AGUGAACGCUGGCGGUAGGCCUAACACAUGCAAGUCGAACGGCAGCACAGUAAGAGCUUGCUCUUACGGGUGGCGAGUGGCGGACGGGUGAGGAAUACAUCGGAAUCUACUUUUUCGUGGGGGAUAACGUAGGGAAACUUACGCUAAUACCGCAUACGACCUACGGGUGAAAGCAGGGGAUCUUUGGACCUUGCGCGAUUGAAUGAGCCGAUGUCGGAUUAGCUAGUUGGCGGGGUAAAGGCCCACCAAGGCGACGAUCCGUAGCUGGUCUGAGAGGAUGAUCAGCCACACUGGAACUGAGACACGGUCCAGACUCCUAUGGGAGGCAGCAGUGGGGAAUAUUGGACAAUGGGCGCAAGCCUGAUCCAGCCAUACCGCGUGGGUGAAGAAGGCCUUCGGGUUGUAAAGCCCUUUUGUUGGGAAAGAAAAGCAGCAGGUUAAUACCCCGCUGUUCUGACGGUACCCAAAGAAUAAGCACCGGCUAACUUCGUG
RNAcentral lists this ribosomal RNA (492 nucleotides) under uncultured bacterium. RNAcentral describes it as "partial 16S ribosomal RNA". It matches the Rfam family "Bacterial small subunit ribosomal RNA", at positions 29 to 507 of the family's 1533-position model. The record is from RNAcentral.